This 86-nucleotide long non-coding RNA is filed under the name Oryctolagus cuniculus (rabbit). RNAcentral's name for it is "lncRNA (ENSOCUG00000037311.1)". The record is from RNAcentral. Lineage: Eukaryota; Metazoa; Chordata; Mammalia; Lagomorpha; Leporidae.
AGAAUACAGCUGGAGGACAGAGAAAUUUGGCCUUCUACUUGGAAAAGAUCCAACGUUCCAAAGUAAAAGAUGGAGUUUCCAAAUCA